UACUAGAGUAGCACUCGCAUAUCAAUAAGCGGAGGAAAAGAAACUAACAAGGAUUCCCUUAGUAACGGCGAGUGAAGCGGGAAGAGCUCAAAUUUGAAAUCUUCAAGGUUCCUACCUUGACGAAUUGUAGUUUAAAGAAGUGUUUUCUGUUAGUGGAGUGGCAAAAGUUCUUUGGAAUAGGACAUCAUAGAGGGUGAGAAUCCCGUAUUUGGUCAUUCCUUCUAGCUUUGUGAUACACUUUCAAAGAGUCGGAUUGUUUGGGAAUGCAGUCCAAAAUGGGUGGUAAAUUUCAUCUAAAGCUAAAUAUUGGCGAGAGACCGAUAGCGAACAAGUACCGUGAGGGAAAGAUGAAAAGAACUUUGAAAAGAGAGUUAAACAGUACGUGAAAUUGUCAAAAGGGAAGCGUUUGACACCAGUGUUGUUUUUCCGAAAAUCAAUUAUGAAUGGCUUGAUUUUAAGUUUCAUGACCUUAAAAGCUUGUUUCUUAUUUUUCAUGUCUUUCGUAAUGCACUUUUCGGUUAACAAGUCAACAUCAAUUUCUUUUGUUGUAAAAGGUUAAGAGGAAGGUGGCUUUACUUUCGGGUAAAGUGUUUAUAGCCUUUUAACUCUGCAAUCGGAGAGAUUGAGGUCUGCAGCGUAGAUCCUUCGGGGUUAGAUACGUUUGUGCUAAGUUAUAGCUUUUCAUAGACAACUUGUUGACUAUGUUAAGUCUUGUAAUUUACUCGCAGAUGCUAUUUUACCUACGCUUAGGAUGUUGAAGAUGUAGCACAUCAU
This 774-nucleotide ribosomal RNA is filed under the name uncultured Neocallimastigales. RNAcentral's name for it is "partial large subunit ribosomal RNA". It matches the Rfam family "Eukaryotic large subunit ribosomal RNA", at positions 20 to 635 of the family's 3401-position model. The record is from RNAcentral. Lineage: Eukaryota; Fungi; Neocallimastigomycota; Neocallimastigomycetes; Neocallimastigales.